This 71-nucleotide transfer RNA is filed under the name Cavia porcellus (domestic guinea pig). It matches the Rfam family "tRNA". From Rfam's summary of the family: Transfer RNA (tRNA) molecules are approximately 80 nucleotides in length. Their secondary structure includes four short double-helical elements and three loops (D, anti-codon, and T loops). The record is from Rfam by way of RNAcentral. Lineage: Eukaryota; Metazoa; Chordata; Mammalia; Rodentia; Caviidae.
GGGUAUUUAGCUCAGUGGCAUAAGCGCCUGCCUUGUAAGUAGGGAGUCAUGAGUUCGAUCCCCGGUGCCCA